CAGCCGCCGCGGUAAAACGAAGGGGGCUAGCGUUGCUCGGAAUUACUGGGCGUAAAGGGAGCGUAGGCGGGUCGUUAAGUUGGGGGUGAAAGCCCGGGGCUCAACCUCGGAACUGCCUUCAAUACUGGCGAUCUUGAGUAUGAGAGAGGUGUGUGGAACUCCGAGUGUAGAGGUGAAAUUCGUAGAUAUUCGGAAGAACACCAGUGGCGAAGGCGACUCUCUGGUCUGUAACUGACGCUGAGGAGCGAAAGCGUGGGGAGCGAACAGGAUUAGAUACCCGCGUAGUCCCUGUCUCUUAUAC
RNAcentral lists this ribosomal RNA (301 nucleotides) under uncultured bacterium. RNAcentral describes it as "partial 16S ribosomal RNA". It matches the Rfam family "Bacterial small subunit ribosomal RNA", at positions 509 to 807 of the family's 1533-position model. The record is from RNAcentral.